CAGUAGCCGCGGGAAUACGGAGGGAGCUAGCGUUGUUCGGAAUUACUGGGCGUAAAGCGCGCGUAGGUGGUUCGCCAAGUUGGAUGUGAAAUCCCCGGGCUCAACCUGGGAACUGCAUCCAAAACUGGCGAGCUAGAGUAUGGUAGAGGGUGGUGGAAUUUCCUGUGUAGCGGUGAAAUGCGUAGAUAUAGGAAGGAACACCAGUGGCGAAGGCGACCACCUGGACUGAUACUGACACUGAGGUGCGAAAGCGUGGGGAGCAAACAGGAUUAGAUACCCCCGUAGUCCCUGUCUCUUAUAC
This 301-nucleotide ribosomal RNA is filed under the name uncultured bacterium. Its description in RNAcentral is "partial 16S ribosomal RNA". It matches the Rfam family "Bacterial small subunit ribosomal RNA", at positions 509 to 807 of the family's 1533-position model. The record is from RNAcentral.